GCGGGAAUUAUCAUCUACUAUUAGUCUUUGGUUAGCCAUCUAACACUUAUGUGACUGGAAUGCCUGCACACUCUGAUACUGGUUCCAGACUAACAUUUUCAGGAUUUUCUCCUGUUCUCGCACUGCAAAGGUGGCUAAUUCAUAACACAAGAUUCUUUUAUUUUCUUCUUGCAUGUUUUUGUUACGAAACACAAAUUGGACACAUGAGUAAGUAUGACAUAUUGAUUGCUUUUACUGUUAAACAGGGGGGCUCAUUUAUACAUGUGUUUUACAACCAGAAUAUUGACCCUUGUAGAAAAGUCAGAGCAAUAAAUUUAAUUAGUAGUCUUUAAGAAAUCAUACCAUGUCUUUCAAUAUUAACCUUAAUGAACCCUCCAAGAGAGGUUUAGAGUUUUCCCCUUCCAAGCCUUCUCUACAGGCAAACAUCAAAAUGCUUACCAAUAAUGAGUAUGCAUUUUCCCCUCAGGGUGUUUUUUAUUUUUUUUUGAUGGGGUUAAGCUGAGAUACGACCUUGUCACAUGUGCCGCUGAUGGAGUCUUGGAUCACUUCGUCCCACUAGCGGUCAUGUAGGGGGCAUGGGGAUCCACCUCCCCAUGCUCCAUUCCAUCGCAGCUUCCCCCUUUUCACAUGACAUGAAGGGAAGCCCUUUUUUUGGAGACUUGACCCAACUUUCCUUCUGGAAAGAUGAGGAGUGUGCUGUUGUAUGCUGUCACAAUUCUUUGGCAGCGGCAGCACAGAGCCACCCCAGAAGUAGUUGGCUGGAGUACAAUGGGAGACAUUGGACUCUGUGGCUGAAGUCCAGAAAUGCCAUCAAACCCCAUAAAAUAAGGUACGUGUGAAGAGGUCCACAGACUGAAAAAUGAAAAGAUCAAAUGACUUUCAGCUUUGCUUCAAAAAAUGACACAACCCUAAAUUUUAUAAGAUUUUGAUAUAAGAUGAAGAUUUUUAUAUAAAGCUUUCAUGUAAGCAUUAUACAUGUACUAUAAUAAUAAUAAAAACUUUAUUUAUAACUUGCCCUCUUGUGAUCGAAGGUGACUGAUGAUUUAAGGAAUUCAUAGUUUUGACAAGGACAUCAGGCUGGGUGUUUUGGUCAAUUUGCAAAGACCACAAUAACAAUAACAAGGACCCUUCCCAUGUUAGAUAGUGUGUACAUUUUAAUCAAGGCUUAUGUCCUACAUUUCAUACAUUUAUAGCAGAAGGUACAAAAUGUAUUACUGGAAACCAUAUCACAAAAUGUAUUUGACCUCUUUCACUGUUGCAUGUAUUACUAUGUAUCUCUCCUUUCUGAUUCUGGGGUUCGGGAUUCCCUCUUUCCUCCCUUUGAGCCCCAAAAGGCUCUCUCUCUCUCUCUCUCUCUCUCUCUCUCUCUCUCUCUCUCUCUCUCUCUCUCUCUUCCCCACCCCCCCCCCCAGCACCCAUUCCAGGCUGCACUAACCCUUGGGAAACUAUAACUUACCCUCCACACUGCUUUUUCUUUCAACCAGUUCCAUGGGCUCCAAAUCAUUUUUUGGGCUUUUUAUAAACUUUUAUGAACUUUUUAUAAACUUUUAUGAAGUAUCAGGGACCUUCCUUCCCCCUUCUUCCAUGCCUGUAACCCCCUCUCCUUGCGUCGUUCCAAGUUUCAGGGUACCCCAACCUGGCCCCUUUGCCUGCCUGGGCUGGAAGGGAAAUCCUGGGAUCCCCUUCUAAAGAAGCUCCCACCAUGGAAACACGUCCAGGGGUGGAAGCCUGGACAAACGGCAAUGGAAAUCAUGUGUUUGUCUCCCCAGACCCAUGGGAUGUUGGAUUUAUCUGGAAAUUCUCUCCAGAUCUGGGGCUCCCUCGCAUGUCGCUAUCAUAAUAUUAUAUUACUAUUGUUUCUUAUUGCCAAUAUUAUUUUCUUGUGCAAUGUCUUUCCCUCCAUGUAUGUAUAUAUCAAAUUGAAGCAAAGUGACCUUGCUGUGAACUGGCCAAACAUGCCUCGACCUGGGUCACUGGCUUGCCCCAGGCUCAUGCUAAUGGAACUGUCUCAGAACAAUGCCAUCUUCCUCUCCUUGGAUUCUGAAUAUCACUAUCUACAGUGCACAAUGGAUUUCCCCAGACCUCGGAGGACAUUAAUGUCAGGCCACCUGGGAGAAACCCCUUUGGACAUUUUGAAAACUAUUCAUCUUAAAAAGACUCAUCUUCCUGGAAGGGAGAGUCAAGGCUUGACAAAGCCACCCUUUUCCUCAGACCUUGAGUCACAGAUAUAAUUCCAUCACAGAUCCUGUUUCCACAAGAGAUACAAGCCAGCAGGGGUCAGACUCCCAUUCAUGGAACUGGCCAAAUCAAUCAAUGGAUCCACAAGCAUCGUUGAGUCACCUAUAAUCUUGUUUACUGUUUGUCUAUCCUGUUGCCGCACCUCCACCCCCCCCCAUUGGCCAGCGAGGGAGUGAGGUCACAGAUGGGGCUCAUGCCCUCAUUGGAGGAGCCCCCCAGUGGCUCCCCCUCCGCUCUAACAUCAGAGCCAAUCAGCACAGAGCUGGCCGGUGGGCGGGAGGUAGGAAAUUCAAACUAGAACUGUAUAAAAGUGCAUGCUUUGUUAUGUUAUGUAUUUCAGUCUAUUUUUUUGGCGAACUAUCGCAGGCUGGCAUCACUUUCAGCUGAAAUUAAAUAAAAUUCUUCAAUGGCUUCUGCUUCAACCUGGUGAGUUAUAUUCUGGAAAUUAUUGGUUUCUAUUCUCACCAGGCCUAAUUCACAGUUUGGAUCUCACUGUCCAAUACUGUUCUAAAUUGCUCUACAACACUCUCACCCCAAAGGGGUUCAGGAUAUAAGCUUCUUCACUAAGGGAUAAACUUAGUUGCUUGACUUGUCUUCAUCUGAAAAAUAUAGAAAUCAUAUGCAUUGGUUCAAGAAGAGCAUUUAAUAUUCCUCUGAGUGAAAUUUUAAAAAGUUUUAAGUAUGUUUCAGUUAGAUAAUUCAAGGCCAACGGAGAUGUGAUACCAACAGCUGCAUGUUCAGUUCAUAUCUCCUUCUGUGUAAUAUCUACUCAAAUGUACACAUAUCUGGCAUAUAAAAAUGUUCCACCUUUCCUGAUAGUACUGAUAAAGAUCAAUAAACAUUAGAAUCUGGGAAUCUACAUUCAUAGCAGACUUUGCAGUAGCAGAUUUUUAUUCCCUUUUCAUAUCAUUAUUCUACUUCAUAGUUUAGUGGAACAUGAAUGAGCAGGAAUAAGCUAGAACAAGGCUUUACACCAUUUCAAAGGGUAUUGGUUACUUUACUCAUUGCUUUAAACAGAUUAUCACUGUUCUUGUUACUGCAGUCCAGAAAAUUCACUUGUUGAAUAAGGACCUAUUCACAUUGUCCAAAGGGGCCGUGCCAUUUCAUCAGCUUUUGCUGGCAAAGAGAAGGCUCAUGGCGUGGCUCAUGGCACCCAGUGCACUGUCCCUCCUCCCCUCUUCACACAGAGGGCAAGAGUAGCACUUUUUCCCUCCCCUCCAUCAGAUGGCAGAAAGGGCAGCAACAUGCGCAUUGCCCCACCGCCCUUUCUGCCAUUCCAUGGGCUUUUUAGCCGCAAAAUACGGGUAGCUCCAUUGGAGCUACCCAAAACAUGCUUACCUUCCCCAUAGUUGGGAGGAAAUGCCUUUUGGCACUUUCCCCCAACUCUGGGAGAAAAGGUGGGCAGGAUCUGCCAUCCCUUGUCUGAUGACACCCAGCAGGCCCCAUCAAAAGACCUCCUUUGCUGCGUUUAAAGGCAGCAAAAUGGGGCUAAAUGCCCUGUGUGAAGAGGUCCUUAGUCAUUCCUAAGAAGCUACCUGACUGUGGAUUGAAAAUGACAGGAAAUAGCUCUUACAUUUCCUCAAGUGAUCAAUUCAGAUAUGGCACACUGGAAACAAUGAGAGAAAAGGCAUUACGAAGCAAGCAUUCCCUUGCGCUUUCCUCCAACACAUAUGGCUUGAAUUACAAAGUUGCCCCACAAUGCAAAAAAUAGGAUGAGAUUGGUAGUUUCAAACAUUUUUAAAAAUCAGGUUAGCCUGGGCUUCUAUGUGCACUACCUUACAGGAGAAUUAACCUCUACUUUGGCCUUCCCAGAGUUUCUUGUGUUGAAAUAGAAAUGACUUUAACUGGCAUUGUUACACUUGAUGUGUACAAUUUACUUGAUACUUUGAAAGUUCAAAAUAUUUUUGCUGAACUACAAAAGUUAAGUAAAAAAACAAACAAACUGGCACUGAUUGGUUGCGUAAGUCUUCAUCCCCUUAAGCUAGGGAUCUGCAAGGUCAUUUACCUGGCCCUCUCCCUAAACUUUACACUUCUGGCCACCCUAAGUCUGAAACGACUUGAAGGCACACAACAACCCUAAUUAACUUGACUAUCUCAUCAGCCAAAAGCAGGCCCACACUUCCCAUUGACAUACUGAUAAGUUUAUGUUGGUUAAAACUGUUCUUAAAUAUUGUAUUGUUCUUCCAUUUUUUUGCACUACAAAUAAGAUAAGUGCAGUGUGCAUCAGGAUUUGUUCAUGUCUUUUUGUCAAACUAUAGUCCGUCUAUCCAUCCCCCAACAGUAUGAGGGACCAUGAACUGGCCCUCUGCUUAAAAACUUUGAGAACCCUUGCCUUAAACUGUUGAAUGCCUCUAUAGCAGUGGUUCUCAACAUGUGGGUCCCCAGGUGUUUUGGCCUACAACGCCCAGAAAUCCCAGCCAGUUUACCAGUUGUUUGGAUUGCUGGGAGUUGAAGGCCGAAACAACUAGGGACCCACAGGUUGAGAACCACUGCUCUAUAAAAUCUGGUGCAACCCAAUGCCUCCAGAAAUCACAGAAGUUGUGUAGAAUACAAAAUGCAGAAGUGUAAUCUGAACAAUUAAACACAUCUGUUUUUAGAAGGUUUCAUGGUUUGUAGGACAAUGUAGCUAAAUAAAUAUGACCAUAAAGCCAAAGAGUUAUCACAACAGGUUCAGGACAAAGUUGUGCAAGGAGUGCCAAUCAGUAUGGUCAAAUGUUGCACUCCAACAGAGUCAUCUGACUUUCACCCUGAACACUGUAGACGUCAAAGGCUAGACAAACCUUACUGAAGAUUGUGUUAGACAUUUUCUUUACAGGAGAGAGAUUUAACAGUAUGCCCACUAGUUUUGUUUUCAAUUCUAAUUGAAAAUCUCUGCAUCUCCACUGUUUCUUGUUUACAAAGAUUCUCACUACAAAAUAUUAAUAAUAGAUUAUUUAUGCUUUAAGGGACUUUAUAUUUCAUCUAUUUUUCAAGUUGCAUUUUAUAAAUGUUACUAUCCUAUUUCCGUAUGUGGCAUUUCUUUAUUAUAUUGUUAGGCACUGAAAUGGCCCUGGAGAAAAGCACCACACAGUGAGGUACGUAUUAUAAUGUCUUUAGAAUUCUAAGGAGCACCAAAUUUGAUUGCUAUUUUUUCCCAACUAGAAUACCUUGAAUGAAUCAAUUGUUGAAGUGUUAAAGUCAGCAUUUAAGCAAGUCCCAUUGAUUCAGUUGGUCUACUCUAAUUAGAUCUAGCAAUUGGAUUUACAUCUACAUCAUUAAGCAUGCAAAACAAUGCAACAGCUGCACAACAUUGCAUCCUGUAAAAGAAAUAUUUGCUUCCUUUUCAAAAUAGGCAUGUUAUCCUUUAUGCACUUUAAAUAUUCAUCUCUAGUCACUAAGACUAUAAUUCCCUCUUAUUGAAGUAAAUAGAAUGCAGGCUAAGAACUUGUGUACAAACUAACCUAGGUUUAGGCUGUGAGUAGGAAUCUUGUGGACUUUUAGACACUGUUAGACUGUGGGCCCAUCCCAUUAACGUGGGAAUUCCCACAAUUAAAAGAGGGCCAUCCAGAUGACAUCCCAGAGAAACACAAAUAAAUUUACCACAAAUCAGGAAAACCCUGGUUUGUGGCAAAUUAAUUUGCUAGUAGGUUUAUUCUGCACUUUCUUGGAAGGCACAGGAUAAACUCACUACUUCUGCUGUCUGGACUUCUCCCUCAAAAGCUCUGGGCUUUUCAGGGGGCAGUCCAGACAAUAGUCCCAUGGUUUUCUGGGCUACAUUAGGCCGGAAAACUGCAAAAACACCAAUGCCCUCCCCCAAACCCACCAAAAACCCCUUUAAAAGUAAAAGAACUUACCAGGCCUCCACUCACGUGGUGCUGGAGUACUCCUGGUGCAUAGGAAUGAUGCGCCAGGAGAGAGAGGGGUGGGUGGGAAGGGGAAGGGAAAUUUUUCUCCUACCCCCUUUCUUCUGGAGGGCUCCGGCAUUACGUGACUGGAGGCUGGGUAAGUUCUUUUACAUUUAAAAUGGGUUUUGGGGAGGGGGGUUGGGUGUCCAGGUGUUUUCUCUGAAAGAUCUCGGAGCGCAUCUGGACACCUGCCUCAGAAAGCACACAAUUUGAGGCAUGUGUAGAUUAAACAUGAAUGUUCCCAGGUCUUAAAUGUGAAUGUUCCCGGAUUAAAUGUCUAUCUAGAAGUGCCCUGUAACUCUCAGCAUUCCUGUGGCUGUGUUGACUAUGCAACCACAAGUUAUAGUUCAACAACAUCUAAGAGUCCACAUGAAUCCUAGGCAGGGGGGAAUCUUUUUUAAAAUCCCACCACUGCCACCAAUAUAAAGGAAUGGCGGCAGGGGGGAAUCUUUUAAAAUAUCCCACCUCUGCCACCAAUAUAAAGGAAUGAGCGAGCGCGGAGAGGCUCCUUCAGGCAGGGGGGAAUCUUUUAUUAAUCUCACCUCUACCACCAAUAUAACGAAAGGAGCUGACACCAUUUAUAACGUACCCACUCUCCACUUUACUCACACUCACUCAAGCACACGUAUGUGAGAGGCGAGGGUAUACCAUUUCAUUUUAGAUUUUCUUUUUAAAUGGUAGCUGCCACCAGCCUAAAAUGUCUUUAGGAUUUUUGUUGUUAAGUGUGUCUGAGGCAAACUUCUCCCAUUUCCUGCCCACACUGUUUCUACCCCUGACUCCCAAACUGAUGUUCACUAUGAGGCUUUUCUGUGGUAUUUUUAUUGUUGUAUUGCUGGAACUUUUAUAAAGGUUUCUUGAUGGAAAAUAUACACUGUGGAGGCUCUUGAAAGUUGAAAAUAGAAUAAAAAUUUAUUUUCUUAAAAACAGGUAAAUGAUUACUUCAGAGAGGUUCAUAAGCGUAAUCGGUUACAGACGUUCUUCAGCUUAACUUAGUUGUAUGCUUCAGAUUACUUCACUUAGUUUCAAACAGUUCCAACCAACCAAUCUAUCUAUUGGUCACAAAAACCCUCGUUCUACUUGCUGAGAAUAGACACGAGUUCCCCAUGGUUGUUAAUUAACUUUAACCUAGAGUCCUUCUAUUAACCAGCCCAGUAGUGAGAGUCAAUCCCGUGAGUUAUCUUCCCCCAAGAGAUCCAAACUGCCUGACCUAGCCUGUCAGUUUCCACAGCUUUUAGUUCUCUCUCUCACACACACUCCAAACUCCAAAACCGAACUGCUCUCUUCAAACCUUCAAAACAGAACUCCCUUCUUCAAACCCUCAAAACAGAACUCCCUUCUUCAAACCCUCAAAACAGAACUACCUGGAGCUCUUUUUUUCCUCUGCACUCUAAGACUUAGCUCCUCCCAUCUGCUCUGGUUGGCCAAUCCUAGGAGUCUCUCUCUAAGCUCCUCCCCCUUUCUAACCACACUCAAGAUGGUGGCCUGGCAUUCCUCUACAAAAUGGAUGCCUGCCUCACUCAGUGUUACCAAGGCUUCAUUCCCGGCCUAAUAGAUAACUCAAGCACAAAAAAUACUCAGACCUCCUUUCUGACCUCUCAAUGUUUAUUGGCAUUUCCAAUCUUGCUAGAUAUGGAUCUGGAAACAAAACAUGCCCCUUGAGAGCUUUGCCAUCUCUUGAAUUUUUCAACAGCAUCCAUGUUAAUAAAUCAAACAACUGAAUCCUCAGUGACAAGAGAGGAUCAGUCUUAUUUGCAAAGCACAGAGUCUCAACAAGCUCAUUGAAGAAGCUGGUGCUUGUGUCAGUUGCCUACACUUUGAGUCAAUUCCAAAUAAAUGAAUCUGUUUAAAUUAA
Anolis carolinensis (green anole) is the source of this 7974-nucleotide long non-coding RNA. RefSeq lists it as uncharacterized. The record is from RefSeq and is a predicted model, not a curated record. Lineage: Eukaryota; Metazoa; Chordata; Lepidosauria; Squamata; Anolidae. The transcript has 3 exons.